GUCAACGGCCAUACCAUGUUGAACACACCGGUUCUCGUCCGAUCACCGAAGUUAAGCAACAUCGGGCGUGGUUAGUACUUGGAUGGGUGACCGCUUGGGAACACCACGUGCCGUUGGCUCCC
RNAcentral lists this ribosomal RNA (122 nucleotides) under Pediculus humanus (human louse). The record is from RNAcentral. Lineage: Eukaryota; Metazoa; Arthropoda; Insecta; Psocodea; Pediculidae.